AGUCUGUGAUGAAGCCUUGACCUUCUCCAUGUGAAGGUGCCAUCCAGGUGUACUUGGUGAUGAUGGCAUCUACCUCCAAGCAGAUGUCUCUGCAGAAUCUCUGCUGAGAUUUGCAGAAGCUGUGCUGCAUUAGCUGGCUUGGUAAUUCUUGAUGCAGCUGGAACACAUCACCUUCCAAGUGCAGCUGAAGUGUGCAGCCUCAGGACCUGGGUGUUCUUAGGAGACGGGGCUGGUUCUGGGGUAACGAGGAAACAAAAGGCCUAAAUGCCUCUUGCUUGUCUGUCUAAGGAUCUGCCUCUGUUGUGGCUCCCAUCCUUCUGAAGAACACUUAAGCACAGUGAGUUGCCUUGUAUAACUAUUUAUUGUUGUAUUAUUGUUGUCAAACCCCAUUGCUGGCAGAGAGAAUUUAAAGGCUGUAUCCCAUUGUUGAGUUACUUCAUUACUGUAUUUUUAUACUCUGUUAAAAUUAUUACAAAAGGGAUUUAGAGCAAAUAGCCUUGAGCACCUUUUUAUUCCCUCUCAGGCAGCUUUUGUGACUUCUACCUCCAAGGUAUCAUCAAAUAUCCCC
Molecule: long non-coding RNA, 568 nt
Filed under: Cyanistes caeruleus (blue tit)
Lineage: Eukaryota; Metazoa; Chordata; Aves; Passeriformes; Paridae
Description: lncRNA (ENSCCEG00000021215.1)
Source: RNAcentral